AGCUGGAGUCAGACACUGACACUGAGCGGGUUCGUUACGGGCGGGUGCUGCUGUUGUCCCAACUGCAGCGUCCAUAAAAUGCCCGGAAAGCGCACGUGCUCUGUCCCCUGUGAGCCCACACACUGGCCUCUGGAUGAUGAAGGAUGCUUGUCCCAGUGGGGACCCCAGCAACGGGUGAGGUGACUGGAAGCCAGACGGGCACUGACCUCCAUGCCUGGUUUCCAUGCAGGGCUCUGCAGACAUAGGCGGAAGCAGUAAGGAAUGCACAAGGCCUCAGGGCCAGAGCCAGCCCCACAGGAGAGAGGGCGGAGGGGCUGGAGCCGUGGACACAGGUGACCAUGGGGCUCAGCAGGCUCCGAGGCAGGCAGCUGCGCAGAGCCCCGAGCCCACCUCCCUCCCUUCGAGCAGGCCAGCAGCUGCAUGUCUCCUGUUCAGGCUGAACACCAGCCAGGGCUUCUGCAGUCAGGAGGCUGCAGAGUCCGAUCCAAAGGCACCAGGGAAUGCGGCAGUGGAGGCCACGCGGGACAGUGACAGAAGGAAGGUGUCUUCGCUGUGAUGCACACUAGGUGAAGAACUUGACUUGGUUCCAUAACCAGCCCUGGUGACCCCUUGAGCCCAGUCACAGAUGCCUCCUGCCGGCUUCCUGUCUCUGUCGGUGUGCCUUUCUGGACAUGUCAGAAAAGGAACAUUAAUGUGGGCUUCCCUGGGCACAGAGCUCUUGUGAUCGCCCACCUGUCUUUACCGGUUUGUUUCUUCUUGAUCACUGAAGAGCGUCCUUGUGAACUGAUCCACUGCACCACCUCUUGUUUCUGCAUUUGUCACCUGGUGAAUAAUUGGUGGGUUGGACCCUUUGUAACCUCUCUGUGAGGCCAAUAUUACCGCAUAAAGCCACACAAAGACAUUACAACAAAGCUGCACGUCAGCACUGCUUAUGAAUAUAGACACGAGAAUCCCGUACAAAACACCAGCAAACUGAAGCCAGGAACUUUGAAACAGCUUAUCCAGCAGAGCCAGGGGUUUAACAUCUGGGAAUCGGUCAGCACGAUGUGCCACACGAACAGACCACUGGCAAACAACACAUGAUCGUCUCAACAGCUGCAGAAAAGUAACUGGCAAAAUCCAACUCUGUUUCCACAACAGAAAAUGCAUUCACCAGAACAGGAAGAGGAAGGACUGUCCUGCCCUGAUCUCUGAAAGCCUGCCCAGCGCUGGCUGGGGAAAGGCGGGGCGCUUCUUUCUAAGGGUGGCUGAGACCGGGAAGUGUGCUCAGGCCUCCUCUAUCCCAUGCUGCUGGAGGCACGCACAGGGCAGUGAGGGACAUGGACCUACCCAGGUGGGAAAAAGAAGCGAAACAGGACACACCUCACAAACACCAGUUGGCCUCAACGGAAAGGUUUACUUUCAGAAGUUCCGUUCUGUCCACACAGCUCUCCCCAUAUCUGUAACUUCCUUGGUUAUUGUAGUUGUAUAGUACGUUUGAAAUUGGAACUUGUAAGCUAAUCAGUUUUAUCCUUCUUUUUCAAGGUCCUUUUUCAAUAAGUUCUGUUGGCAUUUCCCCAGUUUUUGGGUUGAUGCCAAUCUGUGAAAUGUUUUGGUAGAAUUAACCAGUAAAGCCAUCUGCUCCAGUAAUUUCAUUUAUGGGUUGAUUUUUUGAUUACUGAUUGAAUCUCUCUACUUUAAAAAGUCUAAUCAAGACUUUCUGUGUCUUCUGGAGUCAUUUUAACUGGAUACAGUAUUUUUAAACUUGUUGUAUGCUUUGCUUAAUCUCCAGACUCUU
This is a long non-coding RNA of Chinchilla lanigera (long-tailed chinchilla), 1777 nucleotides long. RefSeq lists it as uncharacterized. The transcript has 3 exons. The record is from RefSeq and is a predicted model, not a curated record. Lineage: Eukaryota; Metazoa; Chordata; Mammalia; Rodentia; Chinchillidae.